GAUCAUGGCUCAGAUUGAACGCUGGCGGCAUGCCUUACACAUGCAAGUCGAACGGCAGCACGGGGCAACCUGGUGGCGAGUGGCGAACGGGUGAGUAAUGCAUCGGAACGUGCCAUUGAGUGGGGGGUAACUAGCGAAAGUUACGCUAAUACCGCAUAUUCUGUGAGCAGGAAAGCAGGGGAUCGCAAGACCUUGCGCUCUUUGAGCGGCCGAUGUCAGAUUAGCUAGUUGGUGAGGUAACGGCUUACCAAGGCGACGAUCUGUAGCGGGUCUGAGAGGAUGAUCCGCCACACUGGAACUGAGACACGGUCCAGACUCCUACGGGAGGCAGCAGUGGGGAAUUUUGGACAAUGGGGGCAACCCUGAUCCAGCCAUGCCGCGUGAGUGAAGAAGGCCUUCGGGUUGUAAAGCUCUUUCGGCCGGGAAGAAAUCGCAUGGGUUAAUACCCUGUGUGGAUGACGGUACCGGCAUAAGAAGCACCGGCUAACUACGUG
RNAcentral lists this ribosomal RNA (494 nucleotides) under uncultured bacterium. RNAcentral describes it as "bacterial SSU rRNA". It matches the Rfam family "Bacterial small subunit ribosomal RNA", at positions 15 to 507 of the family's 1533-position model. The record is from RNAcentral.